RNAcentral lists this ribosomal RNA (253 nucleotides) under uncultured bacterium. RNAcentral's name for it is "partial 16S ribosomal RNA". It matches the Rfam family "Bacterial small subunit ribosomal RNA", at positions 524 to 776 of the family's 1533-position model. The record is from RNAcentral.
GACGAGGGGUCCUAGCGUUGUUCGGAAUCACUGGGCGUAAAGCGUAUGUAGGCGGCCUUUCAAGUCAGGUGUGAAAUCCCAUGGCUUAACCAUGGAACUGCAUUUGAAACUGUAAGGCUUGAGUAUUGGAGAGGAUGGUAGAAUUCCUGGUGUAGUGGUGAAAUACGUAGAUAUCGGGAGGAACACCAGUGGCGAAGGCGGCUGCCUGGACCUCUGCUGACGCUGAGGCGCGAAAGCGUGGGGAGCGAUCCGG